GUGUAUUUCUAGUGUAGAUUCAUUUACUGCUAAGUCUUUGACAUGCAUCGUAGUUCAUUUUAUCCAUUUUAGUAUAGGCCUACCAGCCACAGGCACAAGUUACCAUCAAACCUUCCUGCUCGAUUGAAUGCAAUGCUACUGUCAUACUAUGUAUCUUCUUAACUCAUCAGUUUUAAUCCUGUGUGUAUUUUUGUCAAGUAUGUUUGUAAACUGAAAUUGUGUGCUUACAUUUAUGUUGGUGUUGUAAUCUGUGUUGGUGUUGUUGUUGUAUCUAAAUUUCCCCACUUUUCAUUGCGACAGGUACAAAUUGCUUGCAUUAUAUUAUUGCAUGUUACUGCUGUACAGGCUGUGCGAGACGCAGCAAGGAGAGACCAGGCUCAGGCAGAAGACAACACCAUGGACCUCAACACAUUCCACACCCGGUGGAGAUGGACGAGUGACCUGACCUGAGAUUUCGUUUUCUUUUCAGAUCUACACCUCCACCACCAUCAUAUAUGUCAAUGCCUCACAGCUGUGAAGCUGCCACUCCCUCCCAAACUCAUGGCACAGCACCCAGCCAUUCGGAAGAUUUGAGGCACAAACAUCAUCCAUUCAAAAACAUCUGGAAUGUCCUGGAGGAACACAAGAAGACCCUUUUGAGGAUAACAGAAUUCAUAAAGUACAUGCCAUGGAAGAGCACAUGGGGCCAAUGACAAGGAAGAUGGAGGUUAUGGAGAGGAAGUCCAUGACUUUGAAGGCUGCCAUGGCUUUGAACAUGCCACGACCUGCUGUUGGUCCAGUGCAGCAGAGAGCAUAAGCUGGUGGAGCUAGUAUAAUGUACUGGUUUGGCUAAUGAAGAUAGACCACAUAAUGUUUUCCAUAUUAGUUUUCAUAUUUCAUUUUCAUCAUCUGCUUUAAUUUUUGUAGACCUUGGGAAAGCCUGGGAUGGGCGAAUACGGCAGCUGCUGUCCGCUGUGGGUGGCUACCCACACACCAUGUCCUGGGACAUUACAGCCUGAGGAGGAAUAGAACGUGCAUGCAUUCCAGAACCUGACCCUUUACAAAGUUAUAACAGAGACCUACACGCAGAACUUCUCUGUCCUGCAGGAAGCGAAUAUUGAGAAUAGCAUUGGGCAUACUCUGAAAUUUGGACUACACAGAUGGUCAGCUGGUCCUCAAGACUGAAAACACACACCAACAUUUUUAUUUUCUGUAUUUUAUUUAUCGUUUUUAUUUAUUUAUUUAUUUUACUUCGAGCCUUGAAGGCAUUUUAUGAUGGAAUUGUAAUACAAUGUUGCACUGUUCUCACCCAUGUUGAAUUCCUGAUAUUUGUCAAUUAGGCAUUCCCUCAGCCUCAAGACUGGAAACACAUUAUAUGCACUCACAUCCAUUUUUGCCAUCUUCAUUCUUAUUUUGUACAUUUUACAUUGUUUGGUUUUGUUGUUUGUUUGUUUUUUUUGCCUUGUUUGCAUUUUAUUAUGAAAAAACAUUGUAAUGUUGCACUGUUACCCUCUUACCUAUGUUGUAUUCCUGAUAUUUUCCUAUUAAACAUCAUCAUCCUUCAACAUUUGCCUUGUCAUUUCAAAUGCAUUCAACACUUUAAUAAUGAAUUAGACCUACAAACUACAGAAAUAUGACAACAUUAUGGGCAUU
This is a long non-coding RNA of Engraulis encrasicolus (European anchovy), 1632 nucleotides long. RefSeq lists it as uncharacterized. The transcript is spliced from 6 exons. The record is from RefSeq and is a predicted model, not a curated record. NCBI's taxonomy places the organism in Eukaryota, Metazoa, Chordata, Actinopteri, Clupeiformes, Engraulidae.